Molecule: ribosomal RNA, 247 nt
Filed under: uncultured bacterium
Lineage: Bacteria
Description: partial 16S ribosomal RNA
Rfam family: Bacterial small subunit ribosomal RNA
Source: RNAcentral
ACACGUAGGUAACCUGCCCAUGUGCCCGGGAUAACUUCUGGAAACGGAUGCUAAAACCGGAUAGGUAGCAGACAAGCAUUUGACUGCUAUUAAAGUGGCUAAGGCCAUGAACAUGGAUGGACCUGCGGUGCAUUAGCUAGUUGGUGAGGUAACGGCCCACCAAGGCGACGAUGCAUAGCCGGCCUGAGAGGUUGAACGGCCACAUUGGGACUGAGACACGGCCCAGACUCCUACGGGAGGCAGCAUG